GACGAACGCUGGCGGCGUGCUUAACACAUGCAAGUCGAACGGAAAGGCCCUGCUUGCAGGGUACUCGAGUGGCGAACGGGUGAGUAACACGUGGGUGAUCUGCCCUGCACUUCGGGAUAAGCCUGGGGAACUGGGUCUAAUACCGGAUAGGACCAUCGUUUAGUGUCGGUGGUGGAAAGUUUUUCGGUGCAGGAUGAGCUCGCGGCCUAUAAGCGUGUUGGUGGGGUAAUGGCUGUCCAAGGCGUCGACGGGUAGCCGGCCUGAGAGGGUGGAAGGACACAUUGGGACUGAGACGAGGCCCAGACUCCUACGGGAGGCAGCAGUGGGGAAUGUUGCACAAUGUGCGCAAGCCUGAUGCAGCGACGCCGCGUGGGGGAUGAAGGCCUUCGGGUUGUAAACUCCUUUCAACCAUGACGAAGCGUAAGUGACGGUAGUGGUAGAAGAAGCACCGGCUAACUACGUGCCAGCCGCCGCAGUAA
This 479-nucleotide ribosomal RNA is filed under the name uncultured bacterium. RNAcentral describes it as "partial 16S ribosomal RNA". It matches the Rfam family "Bacterial small subunit ribosomal RNA", at positions 28 to 523 of the family's 1533-position model. The record is from RNAcentral.